UGCCAGUGAUAAACUGGAGGAAGGUGGGGAUGACGUCAAGUCAUCAUGGCCCUUACGAGUAGGGCUACACACGUGCUACAAUGGCGCAUACAAAGAGAAGCGACCUCGCGAGAGCAAGCGGACCUCAUAAAGUGCGUCGUAGUCCGGAUUGGAGUCUGCAACUCGACUCCAUGAAGUCGGAAUCGCUAGUAAUCGUAGAUCAGAAUGCUACGGUGAAUACGUUCCCGGGCCUUGUACACACCGCCCGUCACACCAUGGGAGUGGGUUGCAAAAGAAGUAGGUAGCUUAACCUUCGGGAGGGCGCUUACCACUUUGUGAUUCAUGACUGGGGUGAAGUCGUAACAAGGUAACCGUAGGGGAACCUGCGGUUGGAUCACCUCCUU
Molecule: ribosomal RNA, 383 nt
Filed under: Enterobacter asburiae
Lineage: Bacteria; Pseudomonadati; Pseudomonadota; Gammaproteobacteria; Enterobacterales; Enterobacteriaceae
Also listed under: 9 other names
Description: bacterial SSU rRNA
Rfam family: Bacterial small subunit ribosomal RNA
Source: RNAcentral